GAGGUAGUGGAGGUCCGAACACACAUCCGUUGAAAAGGGUGGUGAUGAGGUGUGGGUAGGGGAGAAAUUCCAAUCGAACCCGGAGAUAGCUGGUUCUCCUCGAAAUAGCUUUAGGGCUAGCCUCUGGUUAGUCUGCCGCAGGUAGAGCACUGAAUUUCCUAGGGGGCGUCAAAGCCUACCGAAGAAUAUCAAACUCCGAAUGGCGGACAGAUGAUGCUGGGGAGUCAGACUGCACGAGAUAAGUUGGGUGGUCAAAAGGGAAAGAGCCCAGACCUACAGCUAAGGUCCCAAAGUACGUGUUAAGUGGAAAAGGAUGUGGGAUUUCAAAGACAGCUAGGAUGUUGGCUUAGAAGCAGCCAUACAUUAAAAGAGUGCGUAAUAGCUCACUAGCCGAGAGGUCCUGCGCCGAAAAUGUCCGGGGCUAAAACACGACACCGAAGCUUAGGAAUCAGAAAUGAUUGGUAGAGGAGCAUUCUUAAAUCAUCGAAGCUGUACCGAUAAGGAGCAGUGGAGGUUUAAGAAGAGAGAAUGCCGGAAUGAGUAGCGAGAAUGAAGUGAGAAUCUUCAUGGCCGAAUAUCCAAGGUUUCCAGGGUAAAGCUGAUCUGCCCUGGGUUAGUCGGGGCCUAAGGCGAGGCUGAGAAGCGUAGCUGAUGGACAACAGGUUGAAAUUCCUGUACUGCCUUAUAACAGAACUGUGGGGACACAUGUUCAGGUCGCGAGCCGGGAAAGGAAAGCCCGGUGCAAGCAGAGGUUAUCGGUGGGAGGCAAACCCCCCACAAAAGAGAAGACUGCGAUGCGGAGCGAAGAAAAGUAGCGAAGAGCGAUGAGAAUGUGUCGAGAAAAGCCGCUAUUGUUUAUAAGGUACCCGUACCGUAAACCGACACAGGUGGAUGAGGAGAGAAUCCUAAGGCCGGCGGGAGAAGCAUUGUUAAGGAACUCGGCAAAAUGACCCCGUAACUUCGGGAGAAGGGGUGCCCACGAAAGUGGGCCGCAGAGAAUAGGCUCAAGCAACUGUUUAGCAAAAACACAGGUCUAUGCAAAACCGAAAGGUGAGGUAUAUGGGCUGACGCCUGCCCGGUGCUGGAAGGUUAAGAGGAGAGGUUAACGAAAGUGAAGCUUUGAAUUUAAGCCCCAGUAAACGGCGGCCGUAACUAUAACGGUCCUAAGGUAGCGAAAUUCCUUGUCGGGUAAGUUCCGACCCGCACGAAAGGCGUAAUGAUUUGAGCACUGUCUCGACAAUGCAUCCGGUGAAAUUGAAGUACCAGUGAAGAUGCUGGUUACCUGCGCCAGGACGGAAAGACCCCAUGGAGCUUUACUCUAGUUUGGUACUGGGGUCCGGUAUUGCAUGUACAGGAUAGGUGGGAGACUGAGAAGUGUGAACGCCAGUUUGCACGGAGUCAUUGUUGGGAUACCACCCCUGCAGUAUUGGGCUUCUAACAGGUAGCCGUAAACCGGCUAAUGGACAAUGCCAGGCGGGGAGUUUGACUGGGGCGGUCGCCUCCGAAAGGGUAUCGGAGGCGCUCAAAGGUUCCCUCAGAAUGGUUGGAAACCAUUCGAAGAGUGCAAAGGCAGAAGGGAGCUUGACUGCGAGACUGACGGGUCGAGCAGGUACGAAAGUAGGACUUAGUGAUCCGGUGGCAUAAAGUGGGAUUGCCAUCGCUCAACGGAUAAAAGCUACCCUGGGGAUAACAGGCUUAUCACUCCCAAGAGUUCACAUCGACGGAGUGGUUUGGCACCUCGAUGUCGGCUCAUCGCAUCCUGGGGCUGUAGCAGGUCCCAAGGGUUGGGCUGUUCGCCCAUUAAAGCGGUACGCGAGCUGGGUUCAGAACGUCGUGAGACAGUUCGGUCCCUAUCCGGCGUGGGCGGAGGAUAUUUGAGAGGAGCUGUCCUUAGUACGAGAGGACCGGGAUGGACGAACCUCUGGUGUAUCGGUUGGAUUGCCAAAUCCAUGGCCGAGUAGCCAAGUUUGGAAGGGAUAAACGCUGAAGGCAUCUAAGCGUGAAGCCCCCCUCAAGAUGAGAUAUCCCUGCGUAUGCAGUAAGACCCCUUGAAGACUACGAGGUAGAUAGGUCAGAGGUGGAAGUGCAGUAAUGCAUGUAGCUGACUGAUACUAAUAGGUCGAGGGCUUGACCAA
RNAcentral lists this ribosomal RNA (2135 nucleotides) under human gut metagenome. Its description in RNAcentral is "bacterial LSU rRNA". It matches the Rfam family "Bacterial large subunit ribosomal RNA", at positions 760 to 2925 of the family's 2925-position model. The record is from RNAcentral.